Long non-coding RNA from Mus musculus (house mouse), 1375 nucleotides. RefSeq annotates it as predicted gene, 34157. NCBI's taxonomy places the organism in Eukaryota, Metazoa, Chordata, Mammalia, Rodentia, Muridae. The transcript is spliced from 3 exons. The record is from RefSeq and is a predicted model, not a curated record.
AGCCUCCCGCUUGCAAAUAGUGCUUGGAAUGGCUGCUUAAUUAGCUUUGAAUGGCUUUUCCUUCCAGCUCAAACAAUCUGUCACUACCAUGUGGUAUAAAGGAGCCAUGCAUAAAAAAGUAAAAACACACACAAACCCUGAAGAAAAAAAAAAGAAGAAGAAAAAGGAAAGAAAGAAAGAAAAAAAAGGAAGAAAAUCAAAACCCAAACUCCACGGUGUUCCUACUCCUGCGCACGUCUGAAAUAGGUCCUGUCUAUGCGGACUGUGUACAGAAAAGCGCCGCAGCUCUGUCUCUGGUCUCCGCGUCUCCUGCCAGGGCAGUGAUGCUCCCAAGGACCCCACUAGUCAGCGUGAGCUAGUGCAAGGCAGACUUCACAUUGAGUUCUCCUGUGAACCCAGGCGCCAGCACCCGGCCUGCCACACGGAUGAUGAGCGUGAUGGAUGCGGUUUUGCCGAGCGCCGCCCCCACGGCAGAGCCGAACUGCUUGCAGCAGCGCUCCCCACUGUGUGGAAGGACAGCCCUUGAGCGUUUAAUAGGUACAAAGCGGCCAUGGUUACCCAGUACGUCCUCACUUCACUCCCAAGGCCUGGCUGACGGCCCGUCUUAUAGAGUAGAAGAGGGGCUGAUACACAAACAAAGCUUAGUAAUAGGCCGCGAGCUAGGCAGAGAGAAUUGGAAUCCAGGACAGCCAGAUCCACGGCCAAACUCCUUUGUUUGUGCAAGCCGAAUCUAUAUGAGCAUUUACUGAAAGACAUUCAUUCACUCAUUCACUCAUUCAUUCAUUCUAACCCUCUCUGAAGGUAUGGUUGAGGAGCCUCUGGCUCCCAGUUCACCGUAUCACCUCGGCUUUUUUUUUUCCUUCUUCUUCCUUCUUCUGUAACCAGAACCCAGAGCCUGAAAGGGAAGCAGGGCCCUUGGUAACUUGGUUCAGGUCCCUUAAGCUCAAAACUCACUACUGCUCAGAACCCCACCCCCAUGCCACCUCACAAAUUUUGUAAGAAAUGGAAAUGAGCUUAUUUUAUGCUAGAGAAAGAUGCACACAACACACUGUCCGAAGCGCUUGACAAUUAUUUUAAAGAAGGAGGGGACUGAAGAAAAAGACUUCAAACAGCUCUGUCUCCAGUUCUAAUUGGAAGCGUUUCAACUGUUUAUGUUACAAGAAGUGUCAGGGUCAUUUGCUACCGGAGAGCUGACUUUUCAUUGGCUGCUUAAUUGAGUACCUCGGAGUCCACCCCACGUGGGAGAGGAAUUCCUGGCACAUUAAAAAAAAAAAAAAAGUCACGCGGUGAGCUGGAAAGUCCGGGAUGGAUCUGCAUCAGCGGAAGGCCCCCAGCUCCUCAUUUGGGAUGUAAGAUGACUGUGGGAACUUGAGGU